This 255-nucleotide ribosomal RNA is filed under the name uncultured bacterium. RNAcentral describes it as "partial 16S ribosomal RNA". It matches the Rfam family "Bacterial small subunit ribosomal RNA", at positions 524 to 777 of the family's 1533-position model. The record is from RNAcentral.
UACGAAGGGGGCAAGCGUUGUUCGGAAUUAUUGGGCGUAAAGAGCUCGUAGGCGGCUUGUCGCGUCGAAUGUGAAAACCCACGGCUCAACUGUGGGCUUGCAUUCGAUACGGGCAGGCUAGAGUUCGGUAGGGGAGACUGGAAUUCCUGGUGUAGCGGUGAAAUGACGCAGAUAUCAGGAGGAAUACCAGUGGCGAAGGCGGCUGACUGGCCUGCAACUGACGCUGAAACGCGAAGGCUAGGGGAGCAAACAGGG